RNAcentral lists this ribosomal RNA (1285 nucleotides) under uncultured bacterium. Its description in RNAcentral is "bacterial SSU rRNA". It matches the Rfam family "Bacterial small subunit ribosomal RNA", at positions 23 to 1298 of the family's 1533-position model. The record is from RNAcentral.
UUCAGAUUGAACGCUGGCGGCAGGCCUAACACAUGCAAGUCGAACGUAAACAGGAAGCAGCUUGCUGCUUUGCUGACGAGUGGCGGACGGGUGAGUAAUGUCUGGGAAACUGCCUGAUGGAGGGGGAUAACUACUGGAAACGGUAGCUAAUACCGCAUAACGUCGCAAGACCAAAGAGGGGGACCUUCGGGCCUCUUGCCAUCGGAUGUGCCCAGAUGGGAUUAGCUAGUAGGUGGGGUAACGGCUCACCUAGGCGACGAUCCCUAGCUGGUCUGAGAGGAUGACCAGCCACACUGGAACUGAGACACGGUCCAGACUCCUACGGGAGGCAGCAGUGGGGAAUAUUGCACAAUGGGCGCAAGCCUGAUGCAGCCAUGCCGCGUGUAUGAAGAAGGCCUUCGGGUUGUAAAGUACUUUCAGCGGGGAGGAAGGGAGUAAAGUUAAUACCUUUGCUCAUUGACGUUACCCGCAGAAGAAGCACCGGCUAACUCCGUGCCAGCAGCCGCGGUAAUACGGAGGGUGCAAGCGUUAAUCGGAAUUACUGGGCGUAAAGCGCACGCAUGCGGUUUGUUAAGUCAGAUGUGAAAUCCCCGGGCUCAACCUGGGAACUGCAUCUGAUACUGGCAAGCUUGAGUCUCGUAGAGGGGGGUAGAAUUCCAGGUGUAGCGGUGAAAUGCGUAGAGAUCUGGAGGAAUACCGGUGGCGAAGGCGGCCCCCUGGACGAAGACUGACGCUCAGGUGCGAAAGCGUGGGGAGCAAACAGGAUUAGAUCCCCUGGUAGUCCACGCCGUAAACGAUGUCGACUUGGAGGUUGUGCCCUUGAGGCGUGGCUUCCGGAGCUAACGCGUUAAGUCGACCGCCUGGGGAGUACGGCCGCAAGGUUAAAACUCAAAUGAAUUGACGGGGGCCCGCUCAAGCGGUGGAGCAUGUGGUUUAAUUCGAUGCAACGCGAAGAACCUUACCUGGUCUUGACAUCCACGGAAGUUUUCAGAGAUGAGAAUGUGCCUUCGGGAACCGUGAGACAGGUGCUGCAUGGCUGUCGUCAGCUCGUGUUGUGAAAUGUUGGGUUAAGUCCCGCAACGAGCGCAACCCUCAUCCUUUGUUGCCAGCGGUCCGGCCGGGAACUCAAAGGAGACUGCCAGUGAUAAACUGGAGGAAGGUGGGGAUGACGUCAAGUCAUCAUGGCCCUUACGACCAGGGCUACACACGUGCUACAAUGGCGCAUACAAAGAGAAGCGACCUCGCGAGAGCAAGCGGAGGCCUUCAUCAUACUCGCGGCACGGAU